Molecule: non-coding RNA, 4689 nt
Organism: Phasianus colchicus (ring-necked pheasant)
Lineage: Eukaryota; Metazoa; Chordata; Aves; Galliformes; Phasianidae
Source: RefSeq, a predicted model, not a curated record
AAAAGAAGAAAAAGAAGAGGGGAGAGAGAGAUGAGAGAAAAAAAGAGCGUCAGAAACACCUUUGUGAGAGAGCUCGCACCUGUGAAGAGCGAGAGCCACCAUCCUUGCAGGCAGAUACAUCAGACAGCCAGAGGCGAUCUACAGCACUGCUCUCAAGAAAACUCAUGCUGUUGAGUGCAAGAUCAAGAACUGCUGAAUUUUGACCUCUGUGCUGAUCUUCUGCUCUGCCCUAACCUGCAUUAAGAAAGCCAGAUCAGAUGAUGCCAGCUAGCCAAACUCAAUCCACCGGGUUGUUCGAAAAGGAAGGGAGAGGAGGUAUGUUAUACUUACUAUUCAGCCACAAAUGGUAAAAUGGCAGCAAUAUCAUUUGAAUGCAUCUGCCAUCAAGCCAGCUGUCAGUUCUUCACACAAGAGAGAGUUCCCAAAUUGAUGCUUAUAGAUUUUACACACAGACUGCACUCAGACAUUCCCAAAUUAUCUUUCCAGUCAGUUACAUGAUUAUUAUUUGGGUAACCAGCUUGGCGUAUGUUGGUCGCAUCACAAAGUCAAUUACAAACUUAGGAGUGGCCUAAAAUAAAGAGUUGCUUACCUUCCCUGGUGUGUCUGCUCUGCAAACUGAAGAUCUUUCAACUCAGGUGCUUUAAAGCCUCCACUGAAGAGAAAAUGGUCUGGUCGUUAUUGCUUUUUGGGUGUGGAUUUUUUUUUUUUCCUCUUGCAAUAAGGGCUCUCUUGCAUUUUUCCACCAGUCCACGCUAUUAGAUUUAUUACUCUUUUCGUACUGCCUCUCCCUUCUUUUCUUAUUGUCAUUGUCAUAUAUACCAGGAAUAAAGCACACUGGAACAUAGUUUAGAGGUAUUUUAAUACUUGCAGAUAAACAGUGUCACUGAGACUUUCACAGUACAAAAGUUGUCUCUCUGUGGUAUCUUGGGGUAGAUUAAUUUCUAGCACGAGGCUGAACAUAGCAGAUUGUGAAAGAAGGACUGUACUCUCAAGAAACUGGAGCAUACUUAACAGAACACUCCCAUGAUCUUUGGCAGGCGGUAGUCAUGCAGCCAGCACAGGCCUUAAUAUCCUGCAAAGAUGUGAGCAAAUUUCUGAGAAAAGGUACUUCCUAGAAACAUAGAUGCUUACUUGUAAUUUUGGAUGGUGCCUAUCCGUCUCUGUUGCAGGAUGCUUCAGGCUCUGUUAGAACCAUAUUUGAAGAAGGAAAACAGUGUUUUGUUCAGUACAGACGAGUUAGACCACGUGUCUUAAUAUUUCUACAUACAACAGAUCUUCCAAAUAACAAAUAUUUUUUCAUCAAUCACCAGUAAGGGGAGAUUUCUGUUCUGUCUUCAGGUAUAUCUGCUUGCUAAUAGUUACUGUGCUGCCUGGGAUCUAAGGGGUUUGUUUCCCUCUGUAGGCUGUCCCUCCACAGAAUUUGGGUCAGUUACAGAAUAUCAUUAUUAAAUUUAAAAGCUUUGUAUUUCAAGUUAUUACCUAGAGCAGCAUUUUUUCAGGUAAUGUUCUUUCCUGUCAUCUACUUUACUUUAGGAACAGCACUUCUCCUAACCUCAAGGGUAAGUCUCAUGACAGUAGAAGAUAAAGUUUUCUUGGCAAUAGAGAAGACUUUUGAACCCCUUGCUGAAACAGAUAAGAAUGAUCACAACUUUCACAUCCCUCAGGGUAAAAUACAACAUGUUAUUUUAGCCAUGCUAUCCUCACCAUGUACACAACUUUAAGCAGCAGUGAGGAAAAGAAAAAAGCAGUAGAGGUCAGGAUGAAGAAUGAAAAGACGAAAUAAGUUAGAUAAACCCCUGCCUAGGCAAAGGAAAGAGCAAAUUUAGACUGGCAACCCAAAGUAAUAUUACUUACUAAUUUUUUGAGAAAAGAUCCUAUAAUAUGGGAAAGAGCAGCAGAGAUUGACAGAUGAGAUACUGUUGCUACACUGCGACCCCUGCAGUCACAGGACCUGUAUCUGAGGUUUCUCAUCUGUAAAAUGAGAAUUGUUGUUACUUACAAUUCAGGUUCUCAAAAGCAGUAAUUGAUGCUUAUUGUUAAGGCUCUUUGAGAUCACCAAUUGGAAAUACAGAAUGACCUGCUUCUUCUGGGCUGUCUUUUACUUCUCGUUAUAUUCUAGCCAAAUUAAUUUAAUAGACAAGAGUUGUAAAUUCACAGUUUCUUAGAAAUUGAUCAACUUUACAAAAGAGAAGGAAGAGUUGUAAUGAAGCCAAUUUAGUUUGAAAGCAGAGAAUGCUGAUGCGCUCUCCUGGCUGUUUGCUCUGUGCCUGUUCCCUCCACCCCCCACACAUACAUUCCCAUCAAACACUGCCAGGCCUCAAAGACUGCUCAGACUCCUUGUGGAAUUGUUCUCUGAAAAUAAAAUUGACAUAUUCUUUUGAAGGCAAGAGACCAUUUCUUUACAAGAGCUGAAAAUAAGGUGCCAAUUUUGUCUUUUCCAUCCAUACCAUGGAAAUCUUUAGCUCUGUGAAAGGGGGCUGUUCACUGGCUGCUGUCCUAGGGAAGGUCAAACUGUGGCAUUCCUUCUAGAGAACAUACAAGAGAGAAGUGGAGGGGCCUCACUUCUGUAAGGUUAGGUGGUGCAAACAAAACUGUAUCUUCCUUUCCACAGUUAGGCAGGAUGGGAUUUGCACCAGUAUUAUGUUCUUCCAAACUGUGUGGUGGGCAUGGGUAGUUAUGGAGACUGUUGCCCUUUACAUCUUCAGCAUCACCCACCUCAGCAUUUCUGUUAGCAAAGAAAGUACCAGAGCCAAUACGGCAGUCUGGCCUUCACUGAGCCAGUUUCAAGAAAGGAUUAAAAUCAUCCAGUUGCGUUUCUAGGCUUUAAAUUAACUUUAAACCCUCAAUAAAUUACUAAAUAAAACUGAAGACCUUUUCAUCCUCAAACUAGAUUAAUUUUAAUCUUUAAAAUUAUUCCCAUUUUUAUAACAUUUCCAAACCCAUUAUCAUGUCAUUGGCUACAGACAGUUACUCAUUAUUAGUUAUUAGCUGUCAUAGCUCUGUAACUUCUCUCACUGUGACCUCUUUUCCUGGAGCAUGAGCCUUCUUUUACUGAAGUUUAUUUUCAAAUAUCACUCAAAUAUCUGUGCUGAAUGACUUCUGAUCCUUGUAGUUUGCAGCAUGGAACAUUCUUUUUUUGCUCCUUCUGUUCCAUGCUGAUGAGUAUAAAUGACAUCUAGAACUUCUGAUCGCUGCUAUCUCUUGUGCUAUCUGAAAUACAUAUAGAUAUGUUUUUCCUCUUGCAGGUUCCAUGGUUUGCAUUAUUCAUUUGCAUUAAGACGAAUGAAUCUGUGCUUACAAGUAAUUUGAGAAAAUGUCUUCCAGAGGGGGCUAGUUGUUCAGUUAAGCUAUUCACCCCAACAAGCCUGAUAUUAAUUACUUUCUGUAUUCUCAUCCAUUCUCCUGUUCUCUUUCAUUUCUCACUCUCGUCUGAUUUCAUCUCUCAUCUUUCCCACUCCUUGCAAUUACCUGUUUCAAUCCCCACAACAUCUCAUUUAGUAGGUUAACCACUCUUCUCACUGUGUUACUUGACUUUCCACUCUAGAUCUUCUCUUCCCAUUCUUGAAAGCCCACCUGUCCAUCCUUGUCACCUCUCAUCCUAGGGAAACAACUGUUUCCUAUUAGUGCUUCCUUCAUCCUUUUCAACCUGGUUUCUUGAGAAAACAAAAUUUCAGUAAUUAUGCAGUAUGAAUGCAGAGAUUUAUUCUUUACGUUAAACAACCUCUGGCAAACUUGAAAGAGGAGUGGAGGGAUUUAAAGUGUCUUGUUUUUUAGGAAGGUGACCACAGAGAAGAAAAAGGGAUUCCAUAGCCUCUGUAAAAGAAAGAAUGAAGGUAGAGCUUAUUCUUACUAGAAAACGUAAAAUUCAAAAAGACGACUGUAGGAUUCUCAUUGUAUCAGAUAUUACGUUAUUAGAGCCUUCAGAGCCUCAGUAAGAACAUACUGUUAGAGCUUCAAUCUAGGUUUCUCUCCUCUAUAGAUUCUCCAGAUGUAAAUUCUGAUUCAGCUUUUUCCAUAGUUGCAGCUGUGAACAUUUUUAUCUCCUGUGUGUAUUCUUUGCUUUCCAAUAACAGGUAAACUCAUGUGCAAUAAUAAAGUGAUCAAUCACAAAGUACAACACCGACAGAAAAGAAGACCAUGUGGAAUCUGAUAUUCACAACAUUACUGUUUUAUGGUCCUUUUUUCAUAAUCUACAUCUGUGCAUUUUCUGUUUAGACAACAAAUAUUUGUGAUAGGAAUCACCUCUGAUUUUUUGACUACUAUAUCUUAUUGGAAUAGGAAGCAGUGGUCAUAGUCAAAAUUUUCUUGUAAUUUUUAAACAUUUCUAUGUGGUAAGUAUGUUUCAAGAAAAGUAAAAAAAAACCCACUUGCUUUUAGUUGCAAUGCCUUUUACCUUUGGUAAACUGAAGUUUCCUUAUCAUAUCCUUGCAAUGUUUCAAUUUUAACUUGAUACUAUGGAAUUUUUAAUACAAACUUUUAGGAAAAAUACAGAAAUUUGAAAUGAAAACAGAAAAUAGGUUAUUUGAAAAGAAAAAAUCUACAGUAAAGUAGUUGUGCAGCACAUAAGUGUAAGAAUUGGCUAUGGUCUACGGGAGCAUGGACUUGUCUUGUCCUGCAGGAGUGGCAGAGAAUUAUUCCUGACCAGGUGGAUUGUUGUGGCUAUGGUGAUGCGUUUUUUUUGUUUUGUUC